UGGGGAAUCUUAGACAAUGGGGGAAACCCUGAUCUAGCCAUGCCGCGUGAGUGAUGAAGGCCCUAGGGUCGUAAAGCUCUUUCGCCAGGGAUGAUAAUGACAGUACCUGGUAAAGAAACCCCGGCUAACUCCGUGCCAGCAGCCGCGGUAAUACGGAGGGGGUUAGCGUUGUUCGGAAUUACUGGGCGUAAAGCGCGCGUAGGCGGAUCAGAAAGUUGGGGGUGAAAUCCCGGGGCUCAACCCCGGAACUGCCUUCAAAACUCCUGGUCUAGAGUUCGAGAGAGGUGAGUGGAAUUCCGAGUGUAGAGGUGAAAUUCGUAGAUAUUCGGAGGAACACCAGUGGCGAAGGCGGCUCACUGGCUCGAUACUGACGCUGAGGUGCGAAAGUGUGGGGAGCAAACAGGAUUAGAUACCCGUGUAGUCC
This 424-nucleotide ribosomal RNA is filed under the name uncultured prokaryote. Its description in RNAcentral is "bacterial SSU rRNA". It matches the Rfam family "Bacterial small subunit ribosomal RNA", at positions 355 to 796 of the family's 1533-position model. The record is from RNAcentral.